Molecule: ribosomal RNA, 492 nt
Filed under: uncultured bacterium
Lineage: Bacteria
Description: bacterial SSU rRNA
Rfam family: Bacterial small subunit ribosomal RNA
Source: RNAcentral
AGGGUUCGAUUCUGGCUCAGGACGAACGCUGGCGGCGUGCUUAACACAUGCAAGUCGAACGGGAGUAUUGAAGAAGCUUGCUUUAGAGAUACUUUAGUGGCGGACGGGUGAGUAACGCGUGAGGAGCUGUCCUAUGCAGGGGGACAACAGCUGGAAACGGCUGCUAAUACCCCAUAAGCCGAGAGGUAAAAGGAUCAAUCCGGCAGAGGAGGUACUCGCGUCCUAUCAGCUAGUAGGUGAGGUAACGGCUCACCUAGGCGAAGACGGGUAGCCGGCCUGAGAGGGCGAACGGCCACACUGGAACUGAGAUACGGUCCAGACUCCUACGGGAGGCAGCAGUGGGGAAUAUUGGGCAAUGGGGGGAAAAACCCCCUGACCCAGCGACGCCGCGUGGGUGAAGAAAUCCUUCGGGAUGCGAAGCCCUGUUGUAUGGGAAGAGCGGAAGACGGUACCAUACGAGGAAGCCCCGGCAAACUACGUGCCAGCCGCCGC